GCAGACCCGCCGCCAUGACGCUGCGCGCGGCCGUCUUCGACCUUGACGGGGUGCUGGCGCUGCCAGCGGUGUUCGGCGUCCUCGGCCGCACGGAGGAGGCCCUGGCGCUGCCCAGGACUUCUGAAUGAUGCUUUCCAGAAAGGGGGACCAGAGGGUGCCACUACCCGGCUUAUGAGAGGAGAGAUCACACUUUCCCAGUGGAUACCACUCAUGGAAGAAAACUGCAGGAAGUGCUCCGAGACCGCUAAAGUCUGCCUCCCCAAGAAUUUCUCCGUAAAAGAAAUCUUUGACAAGGCGAUUUCAGCCAGAAAGAUCAACCGCCCCAUGCUCCAGGCAGCUCUCAUGCUCAGGAAGAAAGGAUUCACAACUGCCAUCCUCACCAACACCUGGCUGGACGACCGUGCUGAGAGAGAUGGCCUGGCCCAGCUGAUGUGUGAGCUGAAGAUGCACUUUGACUUCCUGAUAGAGUCGUGUCAGGUGGGAAUGGUCAAACCUGAACCUCAGAUCUACAAGUUUCUGCUGGACACCCUGAAGGCCAGCCCCAGUGAGGUCGUUUUUUUGGAUGACAUCGGGGCUAAUCUG
This 582-nucleotide small RNA is filed under the name Pan troglodytes (chimpanzee). Its description in RNAcentral is "processed transcript". Lineage: Eukaryota; Metazoa; Chordata; Mammalia; Primates; Hominidae. The record is from RNAcentral.